Molecule: transfer RNA, 94 nt
Filed under: Candidatus Jordarchaeales archaeon
Lineage: Archaea; Promethearchaeati; Candidatus Jordarchaeia; Candidatus Jordarchaeales
Also listed under: 1 other name
Description: tRNA-Gln
Source: RNAcentral
AGCCCGGUGGUGUAGAGUUUUAAAGACGCAGAGCGGCCAAGCAUACGGGGCUCUGGACCCCGGGACCCCAGUUCGAAUCUGGGCCGGGCUACCA